GACGAACGCUGGCGGCGUGCUUAACACAUGCAAGUCGAACGGAAAGGCCCUGCUUGCAGGGUACUCGAGUGGCGAACGGGUGAGUAACACGUGGGUGAUCUGCCCUGCACUUCGGGAUAAGCUUGGGAAACUGGGUCUAAUACCGGAUAGGAACCAUCUUUAGUGUGGUGGUUGGAAAGUUUUUUCGGUGUAGGAUGAGCUCGCGGCCUAUCAGCUUGUUGGUGGGGUAAUGGCCUACCAAGGCGGCGACGGGUAGCCGGCCUGAGAGGGUGUACGGCCACAUUGGACCUGAGAUACGGCCCAGACUCCUACGGGAGGCAGCAGUGGGGAAUAUUGCACAAUGGGCGCAAGCCUGAUGCAGCGACGCCGCGUGGGGGAUGAAGGCCUUCGGGUUGUAAACUCCUUUCGCUAGGGACGAAGCUUUGUUGUGACGGUACCUAGAGAAGAAGCACCGGCUAACUACGUG
RNAcentral lists this ribosomal RNA (466 nucleotides) under uncultured bacterium. RNAcentral's name for it is "partial 16S ribosomal RNA". It matches the Rfam family "Bacterial small subunit ribosomal RNA", at positions 28 to 507 of the family's 1533-position model. The record is from RNAcentral.